GACGAACGCUGGCGGCGUGCCUAAUACAUGCAAGUCGAACGCUUUUUCUUUCACCGAGACUUGUCUCACCGAAAGAAAAAGAGUGGCGAACGGGUGAGUAACACGUGGGUAACCUGCCCUCGAGAAGGGGAUAACACUUGGAAACAGGUGCUAAUACCGUAUAACAAUAACUGCCGCAUGGCAGGUAUUUGAAAGGCGCUUUUGCGUCACUCGAGGAUGGACCCGCGGUGCAUUAGCUAGUUGGUGAGGUAACGGCUCACCAAGGCGACGAUGCAUAGCCGACCUGAGAGGGUGAUCGGCCACACUGGGACUGAGACACGGCCCAGACUCCUACGGGAGGCAGCAGAAGGGAAUCUUCGGCAAUGGACGAAAGUCUGACCGAGCAACGCCGCGUGAGUGAAGAAGGUUUUCGGAUCGUAAAACUCUGUUGUUAGAGAAGAACAAGGAUGAGAGUAGAACGUUCAUCCCUUGACGGUAUCUAACCAGAAAGCCACGGCUAACUACGUGCCAGCAGCCGCGGUAAUACGUAGGUGGCAAGCGUUGUCCGGAUUUAUUGGGCGUAAAGCGAGCGCAGGCGGUUCUUUAAGUCUGAUGUGAAAGCCCCCGGCUCAACCGGGGAGGGUCAUUGGAAACUGGAGAACUUGAGUGCAGAAGAGGAGAGUGGAAUUCCAUGUGUAGCGGUGAAAUGCGUAGAUAUAUGGAGGAACACCAGUGGCGAAGGCGGCUCUCUGGUCUGUAACUGACGCUGAGGCUCGAAAGCGUGGGGAGCAAACAGG
Molecule: ribosomal RNA, 776 nt
Filed under: uncultured Enterococcus sp.
Lineage: Bacteria; Bacillati; Bacillota; Bacilli; Lactobacillales; Enterococcaceae
Description: bacterial SSU rRNA
Rfam family: Bacterial small subunit ribosomal RNA
Source: RNAcentral